This is a long non-coding RNA of Grammomys surdaster, 3732 nucleotides long. RefSeq lists it as uncharacterized. The transcript has 2 exons. NCBI's taxonomy places the organism in Eukaryota, Metazoa, Chordata, Mammalia, Rodentia, Muridae. The record is from RefSeq and is a predicted model, not a curated record.
UCUGCCUGCCACAGCUCCACCACGUUCGGCAAGGGUUCAAAUGCUGCACGGACACCAAAAAACACACCGCGUUUGUAAUGCACGGAAAAGAAACGCUUCCUGUUUCCUCGCUCGUCCCCUCGUGCCACCCGCCUGCCCCAAACAAGUCUCCCUCUCCCCUCGCAGGGCAGGCCACCCGAGGGGACGAGGAUGCAAAUACAAUGCCCAGACAGCGAUCCCGGGGUCCAGAAGGUUUUCCAGGGCAGCCUGCUACUUUCACUUUGAGCUCUUUACAAAGGGGGUGAUUGACCGUUGUUCACCAAGCAGAAGCAUGUAUCUGCAGUACCAUGAGGCUGGAGAAGGAUCCAGGAUCACACAGCUGCCUUCUUAGAUAAAUCUGACCCACUCAGCCUUCCCUGGAGGUAUGUUUCAUGCUGAUUCAUGAGCAACAGGAAGGUAUGGCCCAUUAAGCAGCUUCCAUAUUUUGAAGUAAAAUUGUUCUCCAAAGAUAACACCUAUGUAUUUGUGCUAUGUUUCUGCUCUCCCCCUGUCAAUGAUAGAGCCACAGACUGUUAUUGCUGAGAAACUGAGGAAAAUCUUUAUUCUUUUUAUUUAACUUUAUUGUUAUUGUUGUUGUUGUUGUUAAAUAUAUGUCAUAAGCUAAACACAAAAAGCAAAACACAGUAACAAAAAAACUCCCCCUCAACUCUGCCUAGUGGCCCAAGUGGUUUCUAGAAAUGCUGAGGCAGGAGAACAGAGAGCUCUCAAGACCACCCUGCGGGCAACAGAGUUCAUACAAAGACCACCUAGGCAACUUUAUGAGACUUUGCCUCAAAAUUAAAAAGGAAAAGAAGGCUGGGGAUGUAACUCAGUACUGCAGUCCUUGCCCCAUUCACAAGACCCUGGCUUUAACCCUCAGCACCACAAAACCGCAAUGACAACACCGAUUCCUAUUUCAAAAUAUCCAUGAUGUUAACAGUGUUUUUAACUUUUUUUUAGAGUACGGAUGAAAAGCGAGUCUAUAUACAAAUGAUAUCUCGAUACAGCCUACCUAAAUUUGAUUCAAGUGGUAAACCCAACAACCCUAAUCUAGAGAAGAGUACCCAUGCUAAGUCACAGGAAGUACUGUGGAGACGAGACAUGCUAAACAUCUGGCACUAGGUGCUCACUAAGUGCUAGAAAUCAUACAACAGUUUAUUCCCAUUGUGGAGGUGUGUCACACCUAUAAAGUGGUAAAUUUGAUGCUAAUGCUUCAAAUCCACGAGUUUCCUAUUUAUUAACGCAUCACUUAUCAUUCAAACAUUGGAAUAAUUCCUAUAUAUGUAGCAGCCUUCUGUUGGUCCAUCCAUCAGUUUUAGGCCUCACCCAAGUGAAACAAGACCAAGAGUUUCACUAAGCCACUGGGAGCUAAGCUUUAGCUCUGACUAGAAGGAAAUUCCCACAAGCAGGGUAGAAACCUAUGUUCCUGAGAUUCAACCUGCUGCCUUGACUCAAAGGCACUCUUUUUGCCACAGUACUUGUUAGAAUUAUUUUUACAUUUACUUGUUGUGUAUAUCGGUGUGAGUGUGUGUGUGGAAGUUAAAGGAUAACCCAUGAAGUCAUUCUUUCCACCUUGUGGAUCCCAGGACUUGAACUGUGGGCCUUCGUGGUUAGAGGUAAUAGCUAUAACUUUACCCCAUCUUACCUCCUGAAGCCUCCAGUGUGCACGAUUAUUAAGAAUUUUCUUGCCUGAAAGAAGGCCCUCACUACAUGCACAAACUAGGUAGGUUAGAUUUCCCAGGUUCUGAAUUGUUAGGAAUACAUUUCUUUCCUUAUAAAUUAUCUAGUCUGUAGUAUUCUUUGAUAGCAGUGUAAAGCUAAGACAUUAGGCAUUUUCUUGGCCUCCUCUUCCUCCCAUGCCCAACCUUUAAAGCAAGAGUCUCAGGAUGUUAUCCUCUAUACCCUUCAUUCCUUCUCUGAAUGGACUCGUGUGGUCCUGCAUUACCAUUGUCUUUAAGGAUAUGAGUCUCAAAUUUUUAGCACGUUUGAAAGCUCCACUCGUAAUCCAACUGCCUGCUUGUCACUGUAAUAGCUCACUGUAUUAGAAGCAUCUCAAACAUGACGUGUCUCUAAUUCUUAAUUCCAUCUAUCCAGACUUACUACUUUGAGUCUUAAGUUCAAGUUAUUGGACACCAUCUACCUAGCUCCUCGAGCCAAAAGCCAGGAGUCAUAUUUAAUUCUUCUUUCCUUUAUACCCUUUAAACUUAUCCAAAAAUCAUAAUGUAUCCACUUCCAGAAUGUUUCCAUGGCUUGCCUUUCCACCAUCCCUGUUACCACCUUGCCUGCCCCCAGUCUCUCACACGGUGCCUGUGUGUCCUUGUACUGGCCCCUCUGUCCCCCAGUCUCUCACACAGGUGCCUGUUCGUCCUUGUACUGGCCCCUCUGCUCCCGUGCCCCUUACAUCACAAUUGUACCAGAUCCAGAAUGGCCAUUUAAAAACAGAGCCCCAGUUGUGCAUGAAGUUCUCCAGUAGUUUUCUGCAGCAGAAACAGAAUUUAUAUUAGAGUAAAACUGUCCUGUAAGAACUAUAAGAGAUCUAUCCAUGCCCACCUUCUGACUGCUUAGCCUGGCCUUUCCAAUAACCAGUACUCUUCAGCUCAAUGGUCUUCACAUUCUUCAAGUCCACCAGUACUAAACCCGUCUUUGAGCCUUUGAACUUUCUUCUUUUAAAUUACUUUUAUUAUAUUUUUUUUUUAUCUUUAUGCUUUACUAUCCUGCAACUGGCCAUUUGGACAAGCCUGUCCUCAAACUCACAGAGAUCCAGGAGCCAGUUCUCCCUGCAUCACGUGGAAAGCCAGGAACAAUCACAGGUUGUUGGGCUUGGAAGCAAGUGCCUUUACCUGAAAAGCCAUCUCAACAGCCCUCACUCUGUUUUCUCUGCUGAAAUCCCUAUGCCCUGAUCGUCACAUGGGACUCUCGCAAUCCAUCACCUAUGUAGUGCUGUUGUGUUGGCGUCUACAUGGAGUGUCCAAGGCAGAGGGGUUGGAGUUAACCAUGCUAAGCCCUAGCCCUAGUUCAAGGACACCUAAAGCAAAGAGAGCAUCUCAUUCCACAGACUCACUGACUAAAGGCUAAACCACAUGGCCGGGAACUAUCUCCUGAAAGAGAAGUUCCUCUUUCUACUGUGUCAUUGGAAACUCAUGGUACCUACAUGACUUCAUAAGAACCUGACGGAACUAGUGAGACCCUUACUUUAUUUGGAAACUAAGGCUAGCAGAUGAAACAACUAACCCUUGUUGAAACUCUACCUCAUCUCACCAUUCUGUCUCUUGACAAGAAUAUAAAUUAGAAACCUUUUUUAUAACAGGUUUUAAUUCUACUUGAUAUAGGAUAUUUGUAGUAAAUUUUUAAAAACCCUAUGAAGACCCAGCUAUAGCUGUAAAGCUUAUGGAAUGAGCUGCAGUUAACUAUAAAAAUUGCCUACCCACAUGCCAUCACAGUGAUAAUCUGUGAUAGAUUUAAGUCGCCAUACAUCUAAGCAUACAGACUUUGCCCUUCUAUAGACCUUUGUGCAUGCUGGCUCAUGGCCUAUCGAGACAGUUAUCCAUAUAAACCUCUAAGGUAGAAAAUACAUUGACGUAAUGAGUUUCACUUUGUGAUUGAAAUUGUCUGCUUGGGGAAUCAAAAUAUAUAGAUCCCCACACUGCAUCUUUGCUUGUUUUUCUCCCUCAUUGUUGGAAACAAUAAACUGUCCAAGAGCGGCAAGAAAAUUGA